Cordylochernes scorpioides is the source of this 73-nucleotide non-coding RNA. The record is from the annotation of a GenBank genome assembly. Lineage: Eukaryota; Metazoa; Arthropoda; Arachnida; Pseudoscorpiones; Chernetidae.
UCCAGGGUAGCCUAGUGGACAUGGCACCUGCCCGGUAAGCAGAAGGUUGUGGGUUCGAUUCCCACCCCUGGAC